Molecule: ribosomal RNA, 497 nt
Filed under: uncultured bacterium
Lineage: Bacteria
Description: partial 16S ribosomal RNA
Rfam family: Bacterial small subunit ribosomal RNA
Source: RNAcentral
GAUGAACGCUGGCGGCGUGCCUAAUACAUGCAAGUCGAGCGAACAGACGAGGAGCUUGCUCCUCUGACGUUAGCGGCGGACGGGUGAUUAACACGUGGAUAACCUACCUAUAAGACUGGGAUAACUUCGGGAAACCGGAGCUAAUACCGGAUAAUAUAUUGAACCGCAUGGUUCAAUAGUGAAAGACGGUUUUGCUGUCACUUAUAGAUGGAUCCGCGCCGCAUUAGCUAGUUGGUAAGGUAACGGCCUACCAAGGCAACGAUGCGUAGCCGACCUGAGAGGGUGAUCGGCCACACUGGAACUGAGACACGGUCCAGACUCCUACGGGAGGCAGCAGUAGGGAAUCUUCCGCAAUGGGCGAAAGCCUGACGGAGCAACGCCGCGUGAGUGAUGAAGGUCUUCGGAUCGUAAAACGCUGUUAUUAGGGAAGAACAAAUGUGUAAGUAACUAUGCACGUCUUGACGGUACCUAAUCAGAAAGCAACGGCUAACUACGUG